Molecule: ribosomal RNA, 474 nt
Filed under: uncultured bacterium
Lineage: Bacteria
Description: bacterial SSU rRNA
Rfam family: Bacterial small subunit ribosomal RNA
Source: RNAcentral
CUGGCGGCAUGCCUUACACAUGCAAGUCGAACGGCAGCACGGGAGCAAUCCUGGUGGCGAGUGGCGAACGGGUGAGUAAUAUAUCGGAACGUGCCCAGUCGUGGGGGAUAACGUAGCGAAAGCUACGCUAAUACCGCAUACGAUCUAUGGAUGAAAGCGGGGAUCGCAAGACCUCGCGCGAUUGGAGCGGCCGAUAUCAGAUUAGGUAGUUGGUGAGGUAAAGGCUCACCAAGCCGACGAUCUGUAGCUGGUCUGAGAGGACGACCAGCCACACUGGGACUGAGACACGGCCCAGACUCCUACGGGAGGCAGCAGUGGGGAAUUUUGGACAAUGGGCGCAAGCCUGAUCCAGCAAUGCCGCGUGCAGGAUGAAGGCCUUCGGGUUGUAAACUGCUUUGUACGGAACGAAACGGUGAGCUCUAAUACAGUUUGCUAAUGACGGUACCGUAAGAAUAAGCACCGGCUAACUACGUG